UACGUAGGGCGCAAGCGUUGUCCGGAAUCAUUGGGCGUAAAGGGUGCGUAGGCGUCCCUAUAAGUUACGGUUGAAAUCUCCUCGCUCAACGAGGAAACUGGCCGUAAAACUGUAGGGAUUGAGUACACUUGAAGCGGGCGGAAUGUGUCAUGUAGCGGUGAAAUGCUUAGAUAUGACACAGAACACCGAUUGCGAGGGCAGCUCGCUAAAUUGUAACUGACGCUGAGGCACGAAAGCGUGGGGAUCAAACAGG
This 253-nucleotide ribosomal RNA is filed under the name uncultured bacterium. Its description in RNAcentral is "partial 16S ribosomal RNA". It matches the Rfam family "Bacterial small subunit ribosomal RNA", at positions 524 to 776 of the family's 1533-position model. The record is from RNAcentral.